UUAUCUACAAGAUCAACCACAAGGUGAACAGGGAAAAAGCAGUUGAUUUCUCCAAUCUACACAUGGCCAGAGUCGGCCACUCACCUCAGGGUCCAAAACAUAAUACAACUUUAUAGGCCUACACAGCAAAAGGUGUCAACCUCAAAACAGCAGGGACAGGAAGUAGAUCAGCCUCAGCCUCCAUUAAGAACCUUUGCCCUGGGUGAGGCAAAGAGAAAGAAGCAGGAAGGGACUUUACCAGGCAAGGAGAGACCAAAUGACCUUCCAAGAACAGACCUCUUCCUAAGCAAGGCUGAUUAUUGGCAUAAGGCUGUUACCCCAAACACUGAGAGUGGAAAGACCUGAUUAAACCUGUAGAAAUACAGUGGGGUGAGGGCACUAAUAGCCUAUCCACCUGGAGCUCAACUCACGCAUACUCUCCCUGUUUUUCCAUGUCUUGGACAAAUGGAGUACCAGAUAUGGCCCACCUCCCCCAUACCACCUCGGCCUCUUGCAGGCAUCUCUUCAUCUGAGUGGAUCCUCCUAAGGCACAAAGUGAACUUCUAGCACACAGUAACUGCCUUUACAACAGUGACUCCUCAAUGUCACACACAGUUAUCUCUACCCCUGUUGUUUGAGGGUGACAAAGAGGAUGUCAAAGACUGGGUGAAAUUAAUCCUAAAAGGUAAGAAAAGUUCAAUGGGCAGAAAAGAAAAGAUGUUCCUAGAAGAGGAAGCAGCUUUUACAAAGAUUUCAAGUCAAAAAAAGCAACAUGUUUGUUAGAGAACUGUGAGCAAUUUAUUCAAGCUAGAACACGAGGAAGGAGUGGCAGCAGACAAGGCAUGAAGAGCCAGAAUGAGAACUCUAUGCAAGUUCUAUGCAACUUCAACAACUUAUUUCUAUUGUUACCUUAUGGGACUGUAUUCUCAACAAAAAUUUAUUGAAUGAAUAAAUGAAUGAGUAAGAA
Molecule: long non-coding RNA, 946 nt
Organism: Peromyscus eremicus (cactus mouse)
Lineage: Eukaryota; Metazoa; Chordata; Mammalia; Rodentia; Cricetidae
Exons: 2
Source: RefSeq, a predicted model, not a curated record